Molecule: small nuclear RNA, 106 nt
Organism: Phodopus roborovskii (desert hamster)
Lineage: Eukaryota; Metazoa; Chordata; Mammalia; Rodentia; Cricetidae
Source: RefSeq, a predicted model, not a curated record
AUGCUCACUUCAGCAGCACAUACACUAAAAUUGGAAUGAUACAGAGAAGAUUAUCAUGGCACCUGCAAAGGAUGACGUGUAAAUUCAUGAAGCAUUUCAUAUUGUU